This 487-nucleotide ribosomal RNA is filed under the name Salmonella enterica subsp. enterica serovar Enteritidis. RNAcentral's name for it is "partial 23S ribosomal RNA". It matches the Rfam family "Bacterial large subunit ribosomal RNA", at positions 33 to 559 of the family's 2925-position model. Lineage: Bacteria; Pseudomonadati; Pseudomonadota; Gammaproteobacteria; Enterobacterales; Enterobacteriaceae. The record is from RNAcentral.
CUGGCAGUCAGAGGCGAUGAAGGGCGUACUAAUCUGCGAUAAGCGCCGGUAAGGUGAUAUGAACCGUUAUAACCGGCGAUACCCGAAUGGGGAAACCCAGUGUGACUCGUCACACUAUCAUUAACUGAAUCCAUAGGUUAAUGAGGCGAACCGGGGGAACUGAAACAUCUAAGUACCCCGAGGAAAAGAAAUCAACCGAGAUUCCCCCAGUAGCGGCGAGCGAACGGGGAGGAGCCCAGAGCCUGAAUCAGCAUGUGUGUUAGUGGAAGCGUCUGGAAAGGCGCGCGAUACAGGGUGACAGCCCCGUACACAAAAGCGCAUGUGCUGUGAGCUCGAUGAGUAGGGCGGGACACGUGGUAUCCUGUCUGAAUAUGGGGGGACCAUCCUCCAAGGCUAAAUACUCCUGACUGACCGAUAGUGAACCAGUACCGUGAGGGAAAGGCGAAAAGAACCCCGGCGAGGGGAGUGAAAAAGAACCUGAAACCGU